This 253-nucleotide ribosomal RNA is filed under the name uncultured bacterium. RNAcentral's name for it is "partial 16S ribosomal RNA". It matches the Rfam family "Bacterial small subunit ribosomal RNA", at positions 524 to 776 of the family's 1533-position model. The record is from RNAcentral.
UACGAAGGGGGCUAGCGUUGCUCGGAAUGACUGGGCGUAAAGGGCGCGUAGGCGGAUUGCUUUGUCAGACGUGAAAUUCCAGGGCUCAACCUUGGGGCUGCGUUUGAGACGGGUGAUCUUGACUUCGGAAGAGGGUCGUGGAAUUCCCAGUGUAGAGGUGAAAUUCGUAGAUAUUGGGAAGAACACCGGUGGCGAAGGCGGCGACCUGGUCCGAGACUGACGCUGAGGCGCGAAAGCGUGGGGAGCAAACAGG